UCAGUGGCAGGGUAGGGGUACCCAGCACAUCUUUCUUCCAAAGCCAAACCUUUGAUCCCCAGAGACAUCAAAAGAGCCAUCUGCAUUUGUGUUUCCUCCAGGUAGAGGAGCAGGGGAGGGGCGAGGAGAGAAAAGGGGAGGGUGGCAGGCAUGGCGGAGGGGGUGCUGAGAGGGGCCGCGCCUGGCCUCUUGAACCUGCAUUUCAGGGAAAAGCCCCUGUCCGGAACCCACUGCUGCGCCUUCUUGGCUGGGGGACUCCUCUGCCGACUAAAUGACUAACUGGGCUAUCUUCAAUAUCAAAUGAGAGGACGUGUUCUAAUGAAAAAGCCCUGUAAAGAGACAGGGGGUUUGGUGUGGGUCAGGAGCAGCUGGUGCCCUCUCUAAGUGACCCCAUGGGGCUUGCUUUAAAAAGCCUUCUGGGCUAGGCGCGGUGGCUCACGCCUGUAAUCCCAACACUGGGAGGCUGAGGCGGGCAGACCACGAGGUCAGGAGUUCGAGACCAGCCUGGCCAACAUAGUGAAACCCUGUCUCUACUAAAAAUACAAAAAAAUUAGCCGGGCGUGGUGGCAGGCGCCUGUAAUUCCAGCUACUCGGGAGGCUGAGGCAGGAGAAUCACUUGAACAUGGGAGGUGGAGGUUGCAGUAAGCCGAGAUCGUGCCAUUGCACUCCAGCCUGGGUGACAAUUGUGAAACUCUUGUCUCAAAAAAAAAAAAAAAAAGAAGAAAAGAAAAAAAGCCUCAUUUCCCUGUGUUGAUUCAUCCCUCCAGGAAGCCUCCUACAGUAGUCAGGUUUCUCUCCCAUUACUGAAUCUUUUCGGCUCCUAUGGGUUCAGCUCUCCCGCCUUGUCGGAAUGGGGUGCUGGUCAUUUCCAUGGCCCCAGCAGACCAGAAGGUGGCUAAGGGAAAGAUCACAUCUUUGUUUUCUCUUUUGGCCCCAGGGCCUGGCCCAGGUGGGGUGAACCAGAUGUCCUUGAUCAUAAUAAUACUCUCCUGUAGUCAUGAGGAGCCGCUGAUUUCAAACCACUUUAGCAGACACCCUAGCAUUUGCUCCUCACCCUGCCCAGUGAGGAAGGCAGGGCAUAGAUUCACAUCCCCAUUUUAUAGUCAAAGAAACUUGAGUUUCAAAGAGGUCAAGUAACUUGUCCAAGAUCAGUUAGCAAGUGAGACUGGUAAGAAGCCCAGGAGUCAGUCUGUCAUUUUCAUUUUACAGAUGGGGAAAUUGAGGCAGAGCGUAACAGAAACACAGGUUAUUAGAGACCAGGUCCAGAUUAAAGCCUAAGAUUCUAGACUUUUUCUUCCAAACCGUAGUGACUGGACUACCCUCCCAGCCUCCACGUGGUAGACGCAUAUCUGGGGGACAGCUGGCUCUCAGAGAACGUUCAGAAGAUCCAGGGCUAUGCUGGGGUGGGCGUGGGGGCUUCCAGUCAAUUUUCUGGGUUAGAACUCAUGCUAUAGGAAUUCCAGAUGUACCCUCAUGGCCCUGACCAGGGGACAGGCGAUUGGUCCUGCUCGCAGGUGACGUGAGGCAGAGAGAGGGGCUGGAUCAGGACACUGCUAUCUAUUUCUCUCCCUGAUUUUCAUACCGGGCUGAGUGCAUGGCUCUGCCUUUGGCUUCCAGGAAUGGAGAGCAGCAAAAGGCAAGGACAGCAGCUGGUUCCAUGGGAGCUCCCCAUAGGCCACCCAGGCCCAGCGUCGCCUUUGUUUUAGACAACAAAGAGUGUCUCAUGUGGUCUCCAGACUGACGGCAAGGUGCGGACCUCUGUUCAGGCACCUCAGCUUCCAAGACUGAGUUCUGAGUCAGAAUCCUCCAGAGUCCUUGGUCUGGGGCUUCCACCCCACUCAGCCCCAGGACUUCCAGGAUUAGUGUCCUUGCCUGAGUUCUGUGUUUUGUCUACCAAAUACCCCACGUUUAUUAAGCACUGAUCUAUUUCCCCAUUUUAUUAAUGAGGGAUGACUGUUCCUGAGAUAAUCAGUGUUUCCAGUGUAUUGCACUGAGAAAAUACCAGCUAAGGCCAGAGGUUUGACAUUUGAGUUAGAGGCUGCAACUAAAUGAGGGAACAGGUAGGUUUUCCGGGUAAAUGUUUGAAAUAUGGGAAAGAGUUCA
This 2103-nucleotide long non-coding RNA is filed under the name Homo sapiens (human). RNAcentral's name for it is "HSALNT0106475". Lineage: Eukaryota; Metazoa; Chordata; Mammalia; Primates; Hominidae. The record is from RNAcentral.